Molecule: long non-coding RNA, 366 nt
Filed under: Amphimedon queenslandica
Lineage: Eukaryota; Metazoa; Porifera; Demospongiae; Haplosclerida; Niphatidae
Description: uncharacterized LOC109591308, transcript variant X1
Source: RNAcentral
UCGUCAAAAUUUUCGCUGCGCGCUUCGCGCGCAGCAAUUUUCGAACCCUCUAUUUUGAGUUCCUGGCUACGGCCCUGUUUAAGUUAUUUCAUCACAGUUGUACAUAUAAUAUCUAUGUUUUAACACUAUAAAAUUAGGAUUAUAUAUGAUAUAAGUGAAGUUGAAUCCAUUGUAGCCUUGUCAUGUCAGAAGCCACUAGAUUUUAAUUGUUAUUAAGCGUCAUAAAUCAAUUUUUAAAUUUUGAUUCUAUUGAAAAAUAUUUUACUGUGACAAAACAAGCAAGUGCUGGUAUGAAUCAAAAUUUUAUUUGAAUUAAUGUUUUGUUGUUCAAAUUGAAUAGUGUGCUGUCAAUGUAUUUGAAAAAAA